This 301-nucleotide ribosomal RNA is filed under the name uncultured bacterium. RNAcentral's name for it is "partial 16S ribosomal RNA". It matches the Rfam family "Bacterial small subunit ribosomal RNA", at positions 509 to 807 of the family's 1533-position model. The record is from RNAcentral.
CAGCAGCCGCGGUAAUACGGAGGGUGCAAGCGUUAAUCGGGAUUACUGGGCGUAAAGCGCACGCAGGCGGUUUGUUAAGUCAGAUGUGAAAUCCCCGAGCUUAACUUGGGAACUGCAUUUGAAACUGGCAAGCUAGAGUCUUGUAGAGGGGGGUAGAAUUCCAGGUGUAGCGGUGAAAUGUGUAGAGAUCUGGAGGAAUACCGGUGGCGAAGGCGGCCCCCUGGACAAAGACUGACGCUCAGGUGCGAAAGCGUGGGGAGCAAACAGGAUUAGAUACCCCGGUAGUCCCUGUCUCUUAUAC